Long non-coding RNA from Homo sapiens (human), 1013 nucleotides. RefSeq lists it as uncharacterized. Lineage: Eukaryota; Metazoa; Chordata; Mammalia; Primates; Hominidae. The record is from RefSeq and is a predicted model, not a curated record. The transcript is spliced from 2 exons.
GCGUCUUCAGCUCUCGAGAGGGAUCUGGGAAUGGUAGGAGAGGGGAGAAGGGCAGAGUCAGCCCAGGGCAGGGCCCCACAGGCCUGACCCCCUCCCCCAACUACAGUGCAGGUCCUACCUGGGAAACGCCCUGGCCUCAGGGCACCGCCCCGGCCUGCGAGAAGAGACAGGCCCACAGAUGUGGAGAGAAAGAGAGAGAGAACCUCAACAGUGGACAGAGAAAAAGCCUGGACAAGCAGCAGGGAGGAAUGAGGAAGCCCCAGCUGGCCCAGGAGGGCUGGUGGUGAGGGAUCAGGAGCCGGGCUUCUGACCCAGCUGUCCUGGGUCAGGUACGGGCCUGGCAAGCACCACAAAGGGAUGAGGAGAGGACCCAGGAGCCCAGCGAGACAUUGGGAACCCAUCCUCCAGGACUCAGCUGAAGACCAAGGCUAUCGUGGGACCAGCAGCCAGGUCUUGGCAGUCUCGAUCCACAGCAGGCUGUGAGCCCACCUGGCUGGGGGACUCGAGCCCGGGCCUCCGGGGCUCCUGGGCCAUGAGCCUCAUCUUCAUCACUCUCAGCAAAGUCAUCCAAGUUGCCCACAUCACUAGGCUUCACACUCAUGAGGCUUGCGAGACUCUGCAUGUCAUCGUCCCUGGGAGGCAGAGGUUAAAGGUGAGGGUGGAGUCAGAGGUCACAGGCCAGGAUCAAGGAGGGCAGGUAGGCACUCACGUGGCACGGCCCUCCCGCAGCAGCACCCCGGAAAGAGUGAGGCUCAGCUCAGCCUGCACCACCUUCACUGACUUUGGCUUCAGCCGCAGCCUCACUGGGACUUGGACAGGCACGGGCCCUGCAUGGCGGGCCAGGUCCACCUCGGCCGUGGCCAGCACCUUCCGCUGCCCCUUAGACUCCUGUGGGCCAGGGGAGAGACCAGGAGAAGGGGCAUCAGUGCUGUCCCAGGGUCCCCAAGAUUCCAGACCUGAGCCCACUCCAGACACUCACAUUUUCAAUAAUAAAUGUCCACUCUUUGGCCUCA